Elaeis guineensis (African oil palm) is the source of this 2605-nucleotide non-coding RNA. Lineage: Eukaryota; Viridiplantae; Streptophyta; Magnoliopsida; Arecales; Arecaceae. The record is from RefSeq and is a predicted model, not a curated record.
CAAAACGAUGCUAAAACCCAAACUCCCGAAAGGCAAACCUCCUCCCCUCCUGCCCCUCCCUCCAAUCCUUCCACCCCAUCCCUCCCCAAGAGCUCAAGACCCCCAACCUCACCACCACCGCAUCCUGACCCUCUUGAAACAAUGCAAUUCCCUGAAUUCCUUUAAGCAGAUCCACUCCCACAUGCUCAUCUCCUCCAUCCACAAGCCCAACCACCUCCUCUCCAAGCUCGUCGUCGACCUCAAAGACCUCCCCUACUCCACCCUCCUCUUCUCCCAAAUCCCCCACCCCAACGACUUCUCCUUCAACCUCAUGAUCCGCGGCCUCGCCACUUGUUGGAACAAUCCCUCUCUCGCCCUCCAUUACUACAUCCGCAUGAUCGAAUCCGGCGCCAAGCCUAACCACUACACCUACCCCUUCGUCCUCCUCGCCUCCGCCAACCUCCAAUCCUUGUAUCACGGGCAAAAUGCCCACGUCUCCAUAUUCAAGACCGGGCUCCACUCCAAUGACCAUGUCCAGCAUUCUCUGAUCACUAUGUAUUCGAGAUGUGGCGAGGUGGGCUCCGCACGCAAGGUGUUCAAUGAAAUCUCCAACAGGGAUAUGAUUUCUUGGAAUUCGAUGAUUUCGGGGUACGCGAGGAUGGGAUUUGCAAGGGAGGCGGUCGGGUUAUUCCGGAUGAUGAGGGCGGAGGGGUUCGAACCGGAUGAGGUGACUCUGGUGAGCGUCCUAGCAGCAUGCGGAGACCUCGGGGACGUUAGGCUUGGAGCGUGGUUGGAGGGGAUGGUAGAAGGGAAUAAAUUAGUGUUGAACUCCUUUGUGGGGUCUGCAUUGAUUGAUAUGUAUGGCAAGUGUGGGGAUCUCGAGUCUGCAAGGAGGAUUUUUGAUGGGAUGGUGAAGAAGGAUUUGGUUGUGUGGAAUGCAAUGAUCACAGGGUAUGCACAGAAUGGGUUGUCCCAUGAAGCUAUUGCAUUAUUCCAUGCCAUGAGAGAGGCAAGCAUCGAGCCAGAUAAGAUCACGAUGAUUGGGGUGCUCUCAGCAUGUCCAUCGGUUGGAGGCCUUGAGCUGGGCUCAUGGCUGGAUGCAUAUGCUUUGCAAAGAGGUCUUCACCACAAUGUAUAUGUUGGCACGGCGUUGAUAGACAUGUACGCUAAGUGUGGAGACCUGGAACGAGCGGUCCAUGUCUUCGAUAUGAUGCCGCAGAAAAACAUAGUCUCAUGGAAUGCCAUGAUCUCUGCCCUUGCCUUCCAUGGACAAGGCCGAGAAGCCAUUUCACUCUUUGAACGUAUGAGGAACGAGGAAGGAGCAAUUCAACCAAAUGAUGUCACUUUUGUUGGGGUUCUCUCUGCAUGUGCGCAUGGGGGGCUUGUUGAUGAAGGUCGUCGGUGGUUUAAUUCCAUGGGAUCCGUGUUUGGACUAGUUCCAAAGAUUGAGCAUUAUUCUUGCAUGGUGGACCUUUUAGCACGUGCUGGACUCUUGGAAGAAGCAUGGGAGUUCAUUGAGAAGAUGCCAGAGAAACCUGAUGCAGUUGUACUAGGAGCUCUGCUUGCUGCUUGUAGGAAUUGUAGGAAUGUGGAAGUUGGAGAGAGGGUUAUAAACAAGAUUUUGGAGUUAGAUCCUUCGAACUCUGGGAAUUAUGUGAUUUCUUCUAAAAUUUAUGCAGGUUUGAAGAGGUGGGAUGAUUCUGCAAGGAUGAGAGGGCUGAUGAGGGAGAGGGGCAUCAGCAAAACCCCCGGUUGUAGUUGGAUUGAGGUUGAUGGCCAAGUCCAUGAAUUCCAUGCUGGUGAUGGACUGCACUUCAAGGCUUUGGAGAUUUAUCAAAUGAUUGAAAUACUGGUUGAGGAGAUGAAGAUGGAAGGAUACAGCCCGAAUACUGACCUAUUGUAAGGAAUCAUUCUGGGAAUGGUCAAAUGAUUUCAGAGCUGUGACAAAUUUGCUAACAAGGAGGUGGCUAGAAGAAACUCCUGGCUUUGGAGACAGAGUCCUCAUAUUCGGCCUUCUGAAAUUUUUUGAGCAUUCUAACAGGAAGAAGCAGCAACACAAGGAGCCUUGCAGAGACUAAGAACAAUUUCCCAAAUAUAUAUCAUUGGCAUCUCAAGCUCGCCUUACAGGAUGAUCAGUAUCAAUGACAUGAGGCAUCACAGAAAUGGAGCCGUCACACAAAUGAAUGGAUACUAGAGGACAGCUAUCACCUCUCCACUCCAGCUCCAUUUCUAGAUUAACAAUGAGAUCCAUCAUCUCAAAUGUCCUGAGCAAACACUGCAAUACCCCUUGUGGAGGGGGUUUGGCAUCUGCAGAUUCUCCUAAAAAAUAAAAAUCUCCUAAAAGCACACUAGAGAAAAAGGAACCAAGGAAUAACAACAUUCCCAAUGAACUCAUCAAUUUUUCCAGAGUUCAUGAUGAAGAUCUAAGAAGUAUAUUUUGACAUUUAAGGCUAAAAAAUGAUACAACACUGUUAAAAUUGUGUUCUAUGUAUUCGAUAAAUGGGGUUGUGUAUUCACUGUAUGUAUUCAACAUACAGUGUGAAUGUUUGUUUACCUUGGUCUUCUUGCAUAGUUGCAUGUGCAAAAUAUAUGGUAACAGAAGAUAUGUGAAUUCCGCUUGUGGUUA